UUUACAUUCUUUGUGGCCUAUGACUUUCAAGAAGGUACCAAGAACCUAUUCCUUCAAUUUUUAUAGUAGUAAAUAGAAACCUUGAAACAAUGACACAUUCUCUAAAAUUCCUCAAGACAUACAAUUCUAUAUUAAAAUAGCUACAAACCCUUUAUUAAAACCCCUUCUUCUGUUAUAAGUAAACUUCUGUGUCAGAAAAUUUACUUGGGAUAUUGAAUAACUGCUCCAAAAUGACUUAAAAGAAACAGUGAUCUGGGACAUCUGUAGCACACUCACCAAUAAGAAUUUUUUUAAAAAAGAAAAGAAACUGAUUUUAAAACUUAUACUUAAUUACAGAGUAAAAGUACUAUUUU
Molecule: long non-coding RNA, 353 nt
Organism: Pipistrellus kuhlii (Kuhl's pipistrelle)
Lineage: Eukaryota; Metazoa; Chordata; Mammalia; Chiroptera; Vespertilionidae
Exons: 2
Source: RefSeq, a predicted model, not a curated record